This 630-nucleotide ribosomal RNA is filed under the name Microbacterium sp. HPCKc-4. RNAcentral's name for it is "bacterial SSU rRNA". It matches the Rfam family "Bacterial small subunit ribosomal RNA", at positions 45 to 689 of the family's 1533-position model. Lineage: Bacteria; Bacillati; Actinomycetota; Actinomycetes; Micrococcales; Microbacteriaceae. The record is from RNAcentral.
UGCUUACACAUGCAAGUCGAACGGUGAAGCCAAGCUUGCUUGGUGGAUCAGUGGCGAACGGGUGAGUAACACGUGAGCAACCUGCCCUGGACUCUGGGAUAAGCGCUGGAAACGGCGUCUAAUACUGGAUAUGAGCCUCUUCCGCAUGGUGGGGGUUGGAAAGAUUUUUUGGUCUGGGAUGGGCUCGCGGCCUAUCAGCUUGUUGGUGGGGUAAUGGCUCACCAAGGCGUCGACGGGUAGCCGGCCUGAGAGGGUGACCGGCCACACUGGGACUGAGACACGGCCCAGACUCCUACGGGAGGCAGCAGUGGGGAAUAUUGCACAAUGGGCGAAAGCCUGAUGCAGCAACGCCGCGUGAGGGAUGACGGCCUUCGGGUUGUAAACCUCUUUUAGCAGGGAAGAAGCGAAAGUGACGGUACCUGCAGAAAAAGCGCCGGCUAACUACGUGCCAGCAGCCGCGGUAAUACGUAGGGCGCAAGCGUUAUCCGGAAUUAUUGGGCGUAAAGAGCUCGUAGGCGGUUUGUCGCGUCUGCUGUGAAAUCCCGAGGCUCAACCUCGGGCCUGCAGUGGGUACGGGCAGACUAGAGUGCGGUACGGGAGAUUGGAAUUCCUGGUGUACCGGUGGAAUGC